UCCUACGGGAGGCAGCAGUGGGGAAUAUUGCACAAUGGGCGAAAGCCUGAUGCAGCAACGCCGCGUGAGGGACGACGGCCUUCGGGUUGUAAACCUCUUUUAGUAGGGAAGAAGCGAAAGUGACGGUACCUGCAGAAAAAGCACCGGCUAACUACGUGCCAGCAGCCGCGGUAAUACGUAGGGUGCAAGCGUUGUCCGGAAUUAUUGGGCGUAAAGAGCUCGUAGGCGGUUUGUCGCGUCUGCUGUGAAAACCCGAGGCUCAACCUCGGGCCUGCAGUGGGUACGGGCAGACUAGAGUGCGGUAGGGGAGAUUGGAAUUCCUGGUGUAGCGGUGGAAUGCGCAGAUAUCAGGAGGAACACCGAUGGCGAAGGCAGAUCUCUGGGCCGUAACUGACGCUGAGGAGCGAAAGCAUGGGGAGCGAACAGGAUUAGAUACCCUGGUAGUCCAUGCCGUAAACGUUGGGAACUAGGUGUGGGCAACAUUCCACGUUGUCCGUGCCGCAGCUAACGCAUUAAGUUCCCCGCCUGGGGAGUACGGCCGCAAGGCUAAAACUCAAAUGAAUUGACGGGG
RNAcentral lists this ribosomal RNA (571 nucleotides) under uncultured Leifsonia sp. RNAcentral's name for it is "bacterial SSU rRNA". It matches the Rfam family "Bacterial small subunit ribosomal RNA", at positions 337 to 918 of the family's 1533-position model. The record is from RNAcentral. Lineage: Bacteria; Bacillati; Actinomycetota; Actinomycetes; Micrococcales; Microbacteriaceae.